UUCAACGAUGAGGCAUAUAUGUCAACUAUGGGUGUUGGCUCCAACAAUUCUCAUUGGUCUCAAACCAAUGACAUGCAUUUCGAUGACCAUGAGUUCGAGGUGGACAAGGAUGGUGAGGGCAUUGUCGACGCACCAAAAGGAAGAGGAGGCAACUACACCAAUGAUGAAGACGUCUUGCUAUGCAAUACUUGGUUGCAAGUGUCGAGGGAUCCAUCCGUUGGAGGUGAUCAAAGUAGAGAUGCAUAUUGAAACCGGGUGAAGGAGCACUUUGAUCUACACAACAAGAGUGGAGUUGACCGCUCGAAACGAUCUCUUCGCUCCCGAUGGUCGACAAUCAAACGAGAUUGUCAAAAGUGGGCGGCCGCACAAAAGACGGUUGACAAGUUGGACCCA
Molecule: ribosomal RNA, 393 nt
Filed under: Triticum aestivum (bread wheat)
Lineage: Eukaryota; Viridiplantae; Streptophyta; Magnoliopsida; Poales; Poaceae
Description: partial small subunit ribosomal RNA
Source: RNAcentral